Poeciliopsis prolifica (blackstripe livebearer) is the source of this 461-nucleotide long non-coding RNA. RefSeq lists it as uncharacterized. The transcript is spliced from 3 exons. The record is from RefSeq and is a predicted model, not a curated record. Lineage: Eukaryota; Metazoa; Chordata; Actinopteri; Cyprinodontiformes; Poeciliidae.
ACACAAGCACGCACGCACGGGGCGAUGGUGGGCAGUCUGAGGGUCCCGGUUUAUCUAUUUAAGGAAGAACAGGUUCCCACUAGAAGUGACGUGGUGAGGGCUACAUCAAAGUCCAUUUGACCCUGGGAAGGAUUCACCAGAGUGAAAAAAAACAAGCAAAAAGGAUGGAAGAAAAGAGAGAAUGUCCAGGAUCUUCGGGGUUCGCUGGCACCAGGAUGGGUGAGGUAUAGCGGUUUUCCAAACUUGAGGAAAGCUUCAUAAGACCAAUCAGUCUUCAAAGACUGCAGUCGAAAACAAGAUUUAAAUUGGAGUGACAGAAUUGCAGAGUGCUGAAAUAAAGCAAAGUAAUCAGGUGGAAAUCCUUUCCAUUACUUUUUUAUGUUCAUCCAAAGAGUUAUUUUUUUGAGUGCACAUGUCAAAUAUGAACCAUUUUCUGAUUCUACUUGGGCUGCUCAGACAGA